UAUUCUGCAGUUUAAGUGUCUGUGAGUGUGUGGAGGGGACAGUCUGCGGUCCCAGUGUGUGUUUGUAAUUUGCAGUUAUGGUGUGGUGGGGCAGACUGCAGUCCCAGUGUGUGUGUGUAUGUACAGUCUGCAGUCCCAGUGUGUGUGCAGGGGCAUUUUAUUUAUAUAUGACACACACACACGCCCCCCACCCUACCAAAUCCUGUGUUUGCCCCUGCAGUGGACGAUGAGGGUGCAGCUACAGGAGCUCGGAGUUGUUGCACUGCUGUUCGGGAUUUUUCUGACAAAUACAGAAUGUACAGUAAAUGUUUAUUUUGGAUGCAGUUACCAUUUCAGCAGACGGGAUGCCGGUGGUCAUGUGACUGGCGCCAUAAUCCCGACACCACUCGGAAUCCUGGUGCCGACAUCACAAAGGAGAAAAAAGAAAGCACAUACAAAUAUCAAAAACAACAAGUGACAAACUCUGGUGUGCAAUCAAAGAAUACUUUUUACUCCGCCUUACAACUUGUGAUAAUGUAUCUUGAAUCACUGUUUUAAUUACUCUGUCAGCAGUGCACAUAUCUUAUAACGAAGCAAGUCAUGGCACCUGUUAGACUUGUUAGUUUAGAUGAGGUACAGACAAAGAUUUUUGCUAUCUGACCAGUUUGAAAACAGCCUGAUAGAGCCAGUUUUAUGUGCUGUGUGAUAAUGGGCAGCAGAAACUGGAACAAACAUACUGUAGGACAGUACUUGAAUGAACUCAUAAUGCCAAAAAAGUAAAAAAUUAAAAAUAAUAAAUUUACAUGCCUAGUUACCCCAAAUGUACUACCUUAUUUUAGUUGCAGCAUUUUAGUGUUUGUUUUCAAAUUACCAAAAAUUUGAAAAUAGAGGCAGCCAUUAUGUUUGACUACAGACCUCAGUGGAUGGUUAACUGUAACAUUAUUUAGAUACACUUGAUGCGCACAAAGCAGGAACAUAAGCUCCGUGCACAUCCUAAGUGAUGGGCCACACAUAGCGGCCAAGCG
Long non-coding RNA from Pseudophryne corroboree (corroboree frog), 1004 nucleotides. RefSeq lists it as uncharacterized. The record is from RefSeq and is a predicted model, not a curated record. NCBI's taxonomy places the organism in Eukaryota, Metazoa, Chordata, Amphibia, Anura, Myobatrachidae. The transcript is spliced from 3 exons.